UGAGGAAUAUUGGUCAAUGGACGGAAGUCUGAACCAGCCAAGUAGCGUGCAGGAUGACGGCCAUAUGGGUUGUAAACUGCUUUUGUAUGGGGAUAAAGUUAGGGACGUGUCCCUAUUUGCAGGUACCAUACGAAUAAGGACCGGCUAAUUCCGUGCCAGCAGCCGCGGUAAUACGGAAGGUCCAGGCGUUAUUCGGAUUUAUUGGGUUUAAAGGGAGCGUAGGCUGGAGAUUCAGUGUGUUGUGAAAUGUAGACGCUCAACGUCUGAAUUGCAGCGCAUACUGGUUUCCUUGAGUACCGACAACGUUGGCGGAAUUCGUCGUGUAGCGGUGAAAUGCUUAGAUAUGACGAAGAACUCCGAUUGCGAAGGCAGCUGACGGGAGCGAAACUGACGCUUAAGCUCGAAGGUGCGGGUAUCAAACAGG
Molecule: ribosomal RNA, 424 nt
Filed under: Verrucomicrobiota bacterium
Lineage: Bacteria; Pseudomonadati; Verrucomicrobiota
Description: Verrucomicrobia bacterium partial 16S ribosomal RNA
Rfam family: Bacterial small subunit ribosomal RNA
Source: RNAcentral